Molecule: ribosomal RNA, 433 nt
Filed under: uncultured bacterium
Lineage: Bacteria
Description: partial 16S ribosomal RNA
Rfam family: Bacterial small subunit ribosomal RNA
Source: RNAcentral
AGCGAACGCUGGCGGCAGGCUUAACACAUGCAAGUCGAGCGGACCUUUCGGGGUCAGCGGCGGACGGGUGCGUAACGCGUGGGAACGUGCCUUCCGGUUCGGAAUAACCCUGGGAAACUAGGGCUAAUACCGGAUACGCCCUCCUGGGGAAAGGUUUACUGCCGGAGGAUCGGCCCGCGUCUGAUUAGCUCGUCGGUGGGGUAACGGCCUACAAAGGCGACGAUCAGUAGCUGGUCUGAGAGGAUGAUCAGCCACACUGGGACUGAGACACGGCCCAAACUCCGAGGGGUGGCAGCAGUGGGGAAUAUUGGACAAUGGGCGCAAGCCUGAUCCAGCCAGGCCGCGUGAGUGAUGGAGGCCUUAGGGUUGUAAAGCUAGUUUUACCGGGAAGAUAAUGACGGUACAGGAUGAAUAAGCCCCGGCUAACUUCGUG